RNAcentral lists this signal recognition particle RNA (281 nucleotides) under Carlito syrichta (Philippine tarsier). RNAcentral describes it as "Metazoan signal recognition particle RNA (ENSTSYG00000036761.1)". It matches the Rfam family "Metazoan signal recognition particle RNA". From Rfam's summary of the family: The signal recognition particle (SRP) is a universally conserved ribonucleoprotein. It is involved in the co-translational targeting of proteins to membranes. The eukaryotic SRP consists of a 300-nucleotide 7S RNA and six proteins: SRPs 72, 68, 54, 19, 14, and 9. The record is from RNAcentral. Lineage: Eukaryota; Metazoa; Chordata; Mammalia; Primates; Tarsiidae.
GCCUGGCGUGGUGGUGCCCACCUAUAGUCCCAGCUACUAGGGAGGCUGAGGUAGAAGAAAUCACUUGAGCCCAGGUGUUAUAGACAAUAGUGUGCUCUGCCGAGUUGGCCGUCAGUAUGAUGACCUCCUGGGAGUAGGGGACUACCAAGUUGCCUAAGGAAGGGUGAACGGCCCAGGUCAGAAAUGGAGCAGGUCCAAACUCCCAUGCUGAUCUGUUGUGGGUUGUGCCUCUGAAUAGCCACUGUGCUCCAGUCUGAGCAACUCAGUGAGACCCCAUCUCC